CGGCCAUGGCUAGAGUUUGAUCCUGGCUCAGGAUGAGCGCUAGCGGGAGGCCUAACACAUGCAAGCCGAGCGGUAGAGAUUCUUCGGAAUCUUGAGAGCGGCGCACGGGUGCGGAACACGUGUGCAACCUGCCUUUAUCUGGGGGAUAGCCUUUCGAAAGGGAGAUUAAUACCCCAUAAUAUAAUGAGUGGCAUCACUUGUUAUUGAAAACUCCGGUGGAUAGAGAUGGGCACGCGCAAGAUUAGAUGGUUGGUGAGGUAACGGCUCACCAAGUCAAUGAUCUUUAGGGGGCCUGAGAGGGUGAUCCCCCACACUGGUACUGAGACACGGACCAGACUCCUACGGGAGGCAGCAGUGAGGAAUAUUGGACAAUGGGUGAGAGCCUGAUCCAGCCAUCCCGCGUGAAGGACGACGGCCCUAUGGGUUGUAAACUUCUUUUGUACAGGGAUAAACCUUUCCACGUGUGGAAAGCUGGAGGUACUGUACGAAUAAGCACCGGCUAACUCCGUGCCAGCAGCCGCGGUAAUACGGAGGGUGCAAGCGUUAUCCGGAUUUAUUGGGUUUAAAGGGUCCGUAGGCGGAUCUGUAAGUCAGUGGUGAAAUCUCAUAGCUUAACUAUGAAACUGCCAUUGAUACUGCAGGUCUUGAGUAAGGUAGAAGUAGCUGGAAUAAGUAGUGUAGCGGUGAAAUGCAUAGAUAUUACUUAGAACACCAAUUGCGAAGGCAGGUUACUAUGUCUUAACUGACGCUGAUGGACGAAAGCGUGGGGAGCGAACAGGAUUAGAUACCCUGUAGUCCACGCUGUAAACGAUGCUAACUCGUUUUUGGGUUUUCGGAUUCAGAGACUAAGCGAAAGUGAUAAGUUAGCCACCUGGGGGAGUACGAACGCAAGUUUGAAACUCAAAGGAAUUGACGGGGGCCCGCACAAGCGGUGGAUUAUGUGGUUUAAUUCGAAUGAUCGCCGAGGAACCUUACCAAGACUUAAAUGGAAUUGACGAAUUAAAAUAGAUCCUCCUUUCGGGCCAUUUUCUCAGGGUGCUG
This 1041-nucleotide ribosomal RNA is filed under the name uncultured Flavobacteriaceae bacterium. RNAcentral's name for it is "bacterial SSU rRNA". It matches the Rfam family "Bacterial small subunit ribosomal RNA", at positions 1 to 1043 of the family's 1533-position model. The record is from RNAcentral. Lineage: Bacteria; Pseudomonadati; Bacteroidota; Flavobacteriia; Flavobacteriales; Flavobacteriaceae.